Non-coding RNA from Powellomyces hirtus, 72 nucleotides. Lineage: Eukaryota; Fungi; Chytridiomycota; Chytridiomycetes; Spizellomycetales; Powellomycetaceae. The record is from the annotation of a GenBank genome assembly.
GCCUUCUUAGCUAAGUGGUAUAGCGACAGCCUCGUAAGCUGUAGGUCGCGUGUUCGAUCCUCGCAGAAGGCA